UGCGUAGGCGGGAGUUUAAGUCAGUGGUGAAAUCCUGCAGCUUAACUGUAGAAUUGCCAUUGAAACUGAAUUUCUUGAGUGCAGUUGAGGUGAGCGGAAUGUGUAAUGUAGCGGUGAAAUGCUUAGAUAUUACACAGAACACCGAUUGCGUAGGCAGCUCACUAAACUGUUACUGACGCUGAGGCACGAAAGCGUGGGGAGCGAACA
RNAcentral lists this ribosomal RNA (207 nucleotides) under uncultured bacterium. RNAcentral's name for it is "partial 16S ribosomal RNA". It matches the Rfam family "Bacterial small subunit ribosomal RNA", at positions 568 to 774 of the family's 1533-position model. The record is from RNAcentral.